RNAcentral lists this ribosomal RNA (429 nucleotides) under uncultured bacterium. Its description in RNAcentral is "partial 16S ribosomal RNA". It matches the Rfam family "Bacterial small subunit ribosomal RNA", at positions 29 to 507 of the family's 1533-position model. The record is from RNAcentral.
ACGAACGCUGGCGGCAGGCCUAACACAUGCAAGUCGAACGCCCCGCAAGGGGAGUGGCAGACGGGUGAGUAACACGUGGGAACCUUCCCUAUAGUACGGAAUAGCCCAGGGAAACUUGGAGUAAUACCGUAUACGCCCGAAAGGGGAAAGAAUUUCGCUAUAGGAUGGGCCCGCGUAGGAUUAGCUAGUUGGUGAGGUAAUGGCUCACCAAGGCGACGAUCCUUAGCUGGUUUGAGAGAACGACCAGCCACACUGGGACUGAGACACGGCCCAGACUCCUACGGGAGGCAGCAGUGGGGAAUAUUGGACAAUGGGCGCAAGCCUGAUCCAGCCAUGCCGCGUGAGUGAUGAAGGCCUUAGGGUUGUAAAGCUCUUUUGGCGGGGACGAUAAUGACGGUACCCGCAGAAUAAGUCCCGGCUAACUUCGUG